AUCCAAAGACACCACUUACUGAAGACAACAAGCUACACAAACCUUGGGAAAUUUGAUAGUUGGAAGAUUAGAGAACAAAUUGGCACCAUAUUGCAGUAUUGGAAGGUAAAAAUGAUUCAAUGCACUUUCACCGAUGCUUCAGCUUUGAAUCGUCUUCGCGACUCGCACCCGAGCCGGCAUUUCGACGCCAUGUUGUUACCAACGAACUCUGUUUCUGGAUUGAAGAGGCUGUGACAGAUAAUCAGUCAACGAACUUCAGUCAACGCGCCAUAUUUUGAUUGAGAAGCAUGCCCAAAACUCAUCAAGAUGUCUCAGUUUCUCGGUUCUAUACUCGAGUGAUAGGCAGAUACACAAUUUUGGGACCGGAAUCGCCG
RNAcentral lists this unclassified non-coding RNA (374 nucleotides) under Athalia rosae (coleseed sawfly). Its description in RNAcentral is "misc RNA ENSAEAG00005012512.1". Lineage: Eukaryota; Metazoa; Arthropoda; Insecta; Hymenoptera; Athaliidae. The record is from RNAcentral.